RNAcentral lists this transfer RNA (69 nucleotides) under Neodiprion lecontei (redheaded pine sawfly). RNAcentral describes it as "tRNA-Phe". RNAcentral also lists the same sequence under 2 other names. The record is from RNAcentral. Lineage: Eukaryota; Metazoa; Arthropoda; Insecta; Hymenoptera; Diprionidae.
GUUUAAAUAGCUUAAAAUUUAAAGUAUAUUAUUGAAGAUAAUAUGAUGAUUUAUUUAAAUCUUUAAACA